AGAGAAAAUAAAAUAAAUGGCAUUUCAAAUGACCUAACUGAUGAUCAAAUGAAAGAUACAAUGUGAAGAUCAAUGUGGAUAAUGCUUCAAUCUUUUUUUCUUUUUUAAUCAUCUUUUGUGUGUAUUCCUAAGAAUGAACACUCUCUUGUGAGACUCUUCUGUGGCCAGAUCUAGGUGUGUGUUUAUGCAUCACAAGCAAGGAAGCCCAUACUGGACCCUGGUGACUAACAUCUUGGCUUGUGAGCCCUUGGCUACAAAGCAGAGAGACCCAUGAUCCGUGCACCAUAGCUGAUUAAAUUAUUCUCCAAUCAUGAAGAUCUUUGCCUUGUCCCUCUGGAUCAUCUUUAAAAAGAAUAAGUGACUCAAUGUGAUCAUAAGAUGAAACAAGGGCAAUCGAACUCAGGACCCUGCGCUUGCAAGGCAGGUGGUGGAACCACUGAGCUAAAUCCCCAGCCCACCGUGAAAGAAACACUUAAUGUUUUGUAUCCUUGUUUUAAUAGGAGAUAGUAUAGAGUACCAUGCUAGUAUGAAAUUUUUUGCUUGGUAUUUUCAUGGAUUAUUACAUGGAUUAUUAUUUUUCUGUCUCAGACACUAGUUGUACUGAGCUUAUUUAUUUGCAG
RNAcentral lists this long non-coding RNA (620 nucleotides) under Heterocephalus glaber (naked mole-rat). Its description in RNAcentral is "lncRNA (ENSHGLG00100040185.1)". Lineage: Eukaryota; Metazoa; Chordata; Mammalia; Rodentia; Bathyergidae. The record is from RNAcentral.